This 18013-nucleotide long non-coding RNA is filed under the name Volvox carteri. RNAcentral describes it as "long non-coding RNA (VCAR_LNC000823)". The record is from RNAcentral. Lineage: Eukaryota; Viridiplantae; Chlorophyta; Chlorophyceae; Chlamydomonadales; Volvocaceae.
UGACACUACUGCAAUUAGCGCUUUAAGGUCCUGGGUUCGAUUCCUGGGGAGACCCCCGAAUUAGUCGGGAGCGCGAGAUUAUGGCUAGCUGCUGAGAUGUGGAGUUGAGGUCACAGUUGAUGGACCAGAUUCGCACGCUGGAUUGGUGGCGAUUGCCGAACCCUCCGUCUCUUCGGGUGUUCGGGUGAAUGGAUGAGGUGGGGUCCCUGAAGGCUGGAUCCGCCGCCUUGGACUUACAGUUCGUAUGGCGAAGUACAGUGUGGUAGUGGUGGAUGGUGCUAUAAGGUGAUAAAUGAUCUAGAACUGACAAUGUGAUAAAGUGGCCCAGAAGCCUCCCACUCUGUAACAUUACAUUACAUUACACCAGUGAAUGGUAGCCACAGUAAUAGGACCCAACGGGGGUCCGGCACUCUGCUGGUCUUAACAGAGUCAGGGCCUCUGUCAAGCUCCGUUAGACUUAGGAAACACAGUCGGCUAGGCACCACUGUCACCUGUGCAUGGUGAAGGAAUGCCGGAAGAAGCCGGAACAACCGGUGCAAGCCAGCGCAGGAGUAAGAGGGCAGGGAAUGUGAGGAUAUAUUGUGGCCUUCGGAGCGGUAGUGUUGAAGGGCGGUCCUAUCCCAACGUAGAUAGCUGUUAGUUAGGCGAUAAUAGGCGAUGCCUCGAACGUGCCUCGACCUUGCCUCGGCCGUGCCUAGACUUUGCCUCGGCCAUGCCUCGACUUGCCUCGGCCGUACCUCGACCUUGCCUCGGGUCUCUCGGCCGCGUAUCUCGGACGUGUCCUCGUGCCCAGCAUUGAUGGUGGGCGACUGUACGAUACUUCCAUUGGUACUGGUAUGUAUGUUGUUACAGGGUGGUUAACUUCGCCAGCGGCCCCCUUUCCCGGGGCAGUCCCUGCUCUCCCCUGCUAGAGGGGCACCCUAAUCCGUCACCCCAUCCGACUUCAGAAUGUAUUCGUUGGGUUCGGCAACUCACCACCAGCAUCCAACCAAAUCUAGCGGAUCAACGGCGCAUCAACUUAGUUCCUGGUCAGCUCGCAAGUUGAUAUUAUCACGUCCUACACCGUCCAUAAGAUGGGGGGCCACCUCCCAUUUCAUCACUCCUCAAACACCCGAGGAGCCGGCAGGCGGAUUUGAACCCGGGUCGACUGGGUCAACUGGGAGCAGAAGUCAGGCCUUAACCUCUGCCAGCCGCCUGCCUUCUGGUAUAUAUGACACAAGUUAUGCAAGUCUUGGUAUCUCCUUGCCUCCUUCAUAUUCUUAACAGGUUAUGAGCCCCGCCUCCAGGUACUCAUUUAUUGCCGUGUCGUUGGGUGUAUAAGGUUAAGUACAACGAUGACGGCAGCGUGGAGCGUUUUAAGGCGCGAUUGGUUGCGAAGGGUUUCGAGCAACACGAGGGGAUUGAUUAUGGGGAGUGUUUGCCCCUACCUCUCGUGGUUNNNNNNNNNNNNNNNNNNNNNNNNNNNNNNNNNNNNNNNNNNNNNNNNNNGGCGCUAGCGGAAAACUCGUACAUUCCGCGAUCUAACUGCACGUACAUUCCGCGAUCUCACUGCGCCGUCCAGACGGUGCCCUAAUGUCUAUCACUUAGCUACCGGAUAUGCAUCGGUAGCCCCAUAAGGUUCUGGGGUAAGUCUUCCCCAUUAGUCAGGCGCAGACCCGGGGUCAAAUCCCCUGGUCGACAACCACACGAGUUGGGAGAGGGCCGUUUCCUCAACAGAAACACAUCGACGUGCAGCACCACAUAGUGCGUGAGUGGGUGAAUAGCGGGGAGGUGCAGUUUGAGUACUGCCCUACAGAGUUGAUGGUAGUGGAUGCGCUCACGAAGGCACUGGGAGAAGUGAAGUUCAAACGGUGCAGAGAAGCUAUGGGUGUUGUGUGCAGUCCCCAUUGGUCGAGCAAAUGUGCUACUGCGAGUUGGGAUAUGUCCCGAGGGGGCGUGUUGAAGGGCGGUCCUAUCCCAACAUAGAUAGGUGGUAGUUAGGCGAUGAAUCCGUGAUAGGCGAUGCCUCGGACGUGCCUCGACCUUGCCUCGGCCGUGCCUCGACCUUGCCUCGGCCGUGCCUCGACCUUGCCUCGGGUCUCUCGGCCGCGUAUCUCUGACGUGUCCUCUGGUCCAGGGAUGGUGGACGACUGUACGAUACUUCCGUUGGUAUCGGUACAUAAGGCGAGAGUUAAGCAAGUCUUUCUUUCUCAUGUUAGGGGAUAAAUCGGUAUUCCUUAACAGGAAUCUCCUAAAGUCUUCUUGCCGUUCACCAUUAACCCACAGACUGUAACCCUUAUAUCGCGACCAGUCUCCUUGCCUUCAUAUUCUUAACACGCCGUCGACCAUCUUAAAACGGCUGAAUUCUUGACGUAGAGCCACCUUGCGGGCGUUGUUGUUGGCAGCAAACAUAGAGCCCAAGGCGUCCCAGGCCUUCUUCGCGUUGGCAGCACCGGUGACCAUCGGCAAGUGGUGAUUCUUCACGUUCUUGUUAAGCAGAUUGAUGACCUUCCGUGAUUGACGAAUCUGCUCCUCGUUGCACGGCUCGGCGAGCAAGGACUGCUCAAGCCCAAGCUCCAUGCACAUCGUGCUAAACCGGAUUUGCCACGUGGAGUAGUUGUGGAGGUCCAGCGGGUCAUCAAGCGUAUCCUUGACCAUUGUCGGUAAGGGAUAGAAAUAACAAUCGGACGAUAGCUGUCGGCGCUAGACGGGGCUUAUAACCUAUUGGAGAAUUGGCGACGGUGACGGCUAACGCUGAUUGUUAUCUCGGAAGGAAUGCCGGCGGCGAAGAUAUUUAAGCAGCCUCUCGCACAAAUGUGUCCGGUCGUACUUCGCGAAUAAAGAGUUCGUACAUGUCGCCCCAAAAGCCAGGAGCGAUUUUCACCGCGCGGGUGCACGCGUUCGAUUCACAAAUUGCGCGUGUGCAAGUGUAUAAAAUUCUCUCGGCGAAAGGCCGCUCAUCAGGGCAUGUUGGCCGCAGUCACAAGCGGCAUGCAUCUCGGACUUUUGGCUGGCUGCUUAGCCUGAGCUGAAAAAGAUAUGAAAGCAAACAACGUAGCUUGCAAGACUGGGCGCUUGAAACGGCCGCGGAAGAGGAAGCGUUUGGCGAAGCGGCAGUUUGCGCAAGCAAACGAGUUGCGCCAGCGUGUUGCGCAGGUGGGCACGAUGGGCAUAGUCGCACGCGGCAUGCAGCCUAGUCUAUUGCGUGGCUGCUUUGCAGUAACUGAAAGCACCGAAAGCCUACGUCGUAGCUUGCAACACUGGGCUCGUGAAACUGCCGCGGGAAGAGGAAGCGUCUGGCGAAGAGGCAGUCGUGUGCAAGCCAAAAGGCGCCUGCUUUCUGCAGCGCAGCGCAUACAGCACCUUGUUCCGACUCAAGUCAAAUUACAAAGUUGCGCAAAGUAUAACAUACAUAAACUUAAUUAAACAUAAGAACAGAUAAGAUGUUUAGAGCCUUGUCGGUGACAUGGACGCCGCUGUUGGCUUGGAACAGCUAUUUGCUGUGCAUAGGGACGUGCCCGCGUUAGCUGUGUUGCAACAGCUCAGGAUGGAUUUCAGCCAACAAAGCCUCAAGAGCUGCUGCACAACCACCGGUGUGUCUUCAGCUGGACACGUGUAGUUUUGGUCGGCGGGGUCGAGCAUCGUAUGCAUUGCGCACAGAAACCAAGGUGCAGCAUCUCUGUAACAUCGCCAACAUAUCCGGUACGCGGUGGCAGGCUUGCCGAGCACGAAAUGACGGAAGGUCUCAUCUCACCAUUCAACUAAGCAUGCAUGUGCUCGGUUGAAUGCUCGGUAGCAUGCGAGUUUACCUAUCAGGAUGUUUGUUUGCAUAUAUCCCUCCAAGCGAAAGGGCUUGGACCUAUGCUGAUGUUCGUUACAAGAAGUGAACUGAGGACUAAUGCUACACGUCAUGUAUACGCGUUGCUUAGCUUGCAACGAGGCGCGCCCACGAUGAAAGCUUCAGCUACGCUCACAAUACAUUAUACUGCUACACUAUUCUCUCCAGUCCUACCACAUUAUAUUUCACCGACGUACUUUGCCACCUUCCACAUCACCAUACGUGCUUUGGAAACGCGGGCAGCUGCUUCACAAGGGCCCCCAUAUUUAGCACGAUAAAAUGUUAUAAGUUAUGUAAAGAGUAUUAUUAGCGUUCGGCAGGACUUGAGGAGAUUCCUUUGAGGAAUACCGAUCGUUGUGAGAUAAACAAAUAAGCGCAGUCACCGCCCUAAAUACCGGCGCUAGCGGAAAACUCGUACAUUCCACGAUCUACCUGCACGUACAUUCCGCGAUCUCACUGCGCCGUCCUGACGGUGCCCUAAUGUCUAUCACUUAGCUACCGGAUAUGCAUCGGUAGCCCCAUAAAGUUCUGGGGUAAGACUUCCCCUAUAGUUAGUCACAGACCCGGGGUCAAAACCCCUAGUCAACAACCACACGAGUUGGGAGAGGACCGUUCCCUCAACAAAAUUCACACCCUGAUGUGGAAAUGCUGGGGGUUCGGUAUUCAGUCAAGGAACACAAACGUCCUGGCGAGUGGUGACGAAAUGAAUGCGGUCGUACUCUCACAGGCCGAGUCAAUGCUGCAAUAUAUCUGCUUGGACAAACUUGUAUGCCGAAGCAGUCCCAGGUCCACAUGCAGACGACUGGCGGCAGUGAGUGCCGCGAACAUUCUGAAUCCGGUAGACCCCGCUGGACACCGUGGAUUGCAGCAGGCGAUCAUUUGCUGCAACUACAAACAGACGGGCCGUAUAGCUUGGAGUUGCAAAGAGAGCCGCAGCCUAACGUGCAGGGAAGGAGUGGAGGUGGUCUUGGCGACCACACGUGGCAGGUGGGGUAGCAUGCCUCAACAGACAGGCGGUGGCAGCAGUGCAGUGAUGCCGUGUAUUUUUGCUGCAAGAUAAGAACCACUAUUAAGGUUAAGGGGAAUUGUGUGACUCCGAAGCGGCUAGUAUUGGUGUACCUGAGUCUGUUGGAACUGACCGACACUCAUAUACCAGUGAAUGAUAGCCACACUCAUAUACCAGUGAAUGGUAGUCACAGUGAAUGGUAGCCACAGUAAUAGGACCCAGUAUGAUACCAGUGAAUGGUAGCCACAGUAAUAGGACCCAACGGGGGUCCGGCACUCUGCUGGUCUUAACAGAGUCAGGGCCUCUGUCAAGCUCCGUUAGACUUAGGAAACACAGUCGGCUAGGCACCACUGUCACCUGUGCAUGGUGAAGGAAUGCCGGAAGAAGCCGGAACAACCGGUGCAAGCCAGCGCAGGAGUAAGAGGGCAGGGAAUGUGAGGAUAUAUUGUGGCCUUCGGAGCGGUAGUGUUGAAGGGCGGUCCUAUCCCAACGUAGAUAGCUGUUAGUUAGGCGAUGAUAGGCGAUGCCUCGAACGUGCCUCGACCUUGCCUCGGCCGUGCCUAGACCUUGCCUCGGCCAUGCCUCGACUUGCCUCGGCCGUACCUCGACCUUGCCUCGGGUCUCUCGGCCGCGUAUCUCGGAUGUGUCCUCGUGCCCAGCAUUGAUGGUGGGCGACUGUACGAUACUUCCAUUGGUACUGGUAUAUAUGACACAAGUUAUGCAAGUCUUGGUAUCUCCUUGCCUCCUUCAUAUUCUUAACAGGUUAUGAGCCCCGCCUCCAGGUACUCAUUUAUUGCCGUGUCGUUGGGUGUAUAAGGUUAAGUACAACGAUGACGGCAGCGUGGAGCGUUUUAAGGCGCGAUUGGUUGCGAAGGGUUUCGAGCAACACGAGGGGAUUGAUUAUGGGGAGUUGUUUGCCCCUACCUCUCGUGGUUCGUCAUUACGUGCUUUAUUAGCAGUUGCCGCGAAAAUUCUGUAUCUGGUUGACCCAACUGGACAGCGUGGAUUGCAGCAGGCGAUCAUUUGCUACAACUACCAGCAGACGGGCCGUAUAGCUCGGAGUUGCAGAGAGCCGCAGCCUUACGUGCAGAGAAUGAGUGGAGGUGGUCUUGGCGACCACACGUGGCAGGUGGGGUAGCAUGCCUCAACAGACAGGCGGUAACGGCAGUGCAGUGAUGCCGUGUAUUUUUUUGCUGCAAGAUAAGAACCACUAUGAAUUGUCUGACUCCGAAUCGGCUAGUAUUGGUGUACCUGAGUCAGGGCCUCUGCCAAGCUCCGUUAGACUUAGGAAACACAGUCGGCUGGGCACCACUGUCACCUGUGGAUGGUGAAGGAAUGCCGGAUGAAGCCGAAGCAUCUAGUGGUGCAAGCCAGCACAGGAGUUCAGAAGAAUAGGGCAGGGAAUAUGAGGAGAUAUUAUAGCCCUCGGGGUGGUGAUAUGGUGUUGCAGGAAGGAGGAUAGUAGGUUGCAUUAACGUGGCUGUCACUGAUCCGUACGUACCCUGCUGAACUUUUGCUAAGUAAUACUUUCACUGAAGCCAUUUCAGGAGCAGGGGCAAAUGAGUGGCGCAUAGUGAUGGUCAACUGCACUUGUGUGCUGUGUGUACAACCUUAUGCUGUGCAUGUGCCACCUAUGGUGGUUGUACAAGUUGAAAAGAGUGGAAGGUGACACGGUCAAGCGCUUUUUUGCAUGGCUAGGUGCAAAGAUGUACGAGAAGUACGAGAACUUGGAGAAGCGCAGGUGUUUUCGGGCAUGGAAAUACUGAGGAUGAAUUAGUGUUGUCGCAAUAUUGAGCAGCUAUUGGAGCGUCACCAGGCGGUGGACGCCAAGCCACGGUCUACCCCUUUGCCUCCAGGUUUUAGUUGCACACCUACGGGGGAUAGAGAUGAGCUGCUGGGUAUUCCCAUGGUGCAUAGGGCUUUGGUGGGAAAGUUGGACUACCUAGCGACUAACACUCGGCCUGACAUUCCUUAUGCAUGGAGUGUUUUGUCCCGGCUUAUGGCCACACCUAAGAAGAGUGCCAUGAACUUGGCAACUGGUGUUCUACGUUACCUGGCGGGUACUCGCGAACUAGGAUUGCGUUUUGGGGGUGUUGGCGGUGUUGCAAUGUCUGGGUACAGUGAUUCGGACUGGGCAGGAGACCCAGUUACGCAGCGUUCUACGUCCGGUUACGUAUUCACUCUUAAUGGAGCUGCGAUUAGCUGGAGCAGCCAACUUCAACGUACUGUGGCGGCUUCGUCGGUGGAGGCCGAGUACCAAGGUCCAGGUCCUCUCCCAACUCGUGUGGUUGUCGACCAGGGGAUUUGACCCCGGGUCUGCGCCUAACUAACGGGGAAGACUUAACCCAGAACCUUAAGUUAGGCGAUGAUAGGCAAUGCCUCGAACGUGUCUCGACCUUGCCUCGGCCGUGCCUAGACCUUGCCUCGGCCAUACCUCGACUUGCCUCGGCCGUACCUCGACCUUGCCUCGAGUCUCUCGGCCGCGUAUCUCGGACGUGACCUCGGGUCCAGGGAUGGAUCUGUACGAUACUUCCAUUGUUACUGGUCUGGUCUGUACGAUACUUCCAUUGUUACUGGUCUGGUCUGGGUUGACACUACUGCAAUUAGCGGUUUAAGGUCCUAGGUUCGAUUCCUGGGGAUACCCCCGAAUUAGUCGGGAGCGCGAGAUUAUGGCUAGCUGCUGAGAUGUGGAGUUGAGGUCACAGUUGAUGGACCAGAUUCGCACGCUGGAUUGGUGGCGAUUGCCGAACCCUCCGUCUCUUCGGGUGUUCGGGUGAAUGGAUGAGGUGGGGCCCCUGAAGGCUGGAUCCGCCGCCUUGGACUUACAUACAGUUCGUAUGGCGAAGUACAGUGUGGUAGUGGUGGAUGGUGCUAUAAGGUGAUAAAUGAUCUAGAACUGACAAUGUGAUAAAGCGGCCCAGAAGCCUCCCACUCUGUAACAACAUUACAAUUACAAUUACAAUUACAUUGUUACUGGUAUAUAAGACACGAGUUGUGCUAGUCUUAGUAUCUCAUCUUUGUAUGGAUCGCUAUUCCUUAGUAGGAAUCUCCUAAAGUCUUCUUGCCGUUUACCACUCACCCACCGAUUGUAAUACUUAUAUCGCAACCAGUCUCCUUGCCUCCUUCAUAUUCAUAACAAUUAUGGGGAGUUGAUGUUGUUACAGGGUGGUUAAGCUUCACCAGUGGCCUCCUUCCCGAGGCAGUUCCCUGCUCUCCCCUGCUAGAAGGGCACCCUAAGCCAUUCACCCCAUCCGACUUCAGAGUGUACUCUUUGAGUUUGGCAACUCACAACCAGCAUCCAACCAAAUCUAGCGGAUCAACGGCGCAUCAACUUAGUUCCUGGUCAGCUCGCGAGUUGAUUUUACCAUAUCCUACAUCGUCCACAAGAUUGGGGGCCACCUCACAUUUCAUCACCUCUCAAACACCACGAGAGGUCGGCAGGCGGAUUUGAUCCCGGACGCGCCGGACCACGUCGGGAGCAGAAGCCAGGCCUUAACCUCUGCCAGCCGCCUGCCAGCCGCCUGCUGGGAGUUGUUUGCUCCUCUCGUGGUUUAUCUUUAUGGAGCUGUUUGCUCCUCUCGUGGUUCAUCUUUACGUGCUUUAUUAGCAGUUGCCGCAGCGUGGAACAUGACGGUGCACCAGCUCGAUGUGUCUACUGCGUUUUUGAACGGUGAGCUGAAGGAGGAGUUGUGGAUGGAGCAACCGCCUGGUUAUGCAUCCAGUGACCGGUCGCUUGCGUGCAAGCUGCAGAGGUCUAUGUAAGGUUUGAAGCAGGCACCCAUUUGCUGGUAUGAGAAACUAUCAGCAGAGCUCGCCAAGCUGGGUCUUUAUCCUUCGAAGUCUGAUCCGGGAAUGUUCGUUAAGUGUUAAGAAUAUGAAGGCAAGGAGACUGGUCGCGAUAUAAGGGUUACAGUCUGUGGGUUAGUGGUGAACGGCAAGAAGACUUUAGGAGAUUUCUAGGAAGGAAUACCGAUCCAUCCGAAGAUGAGAUAGAAAGACAUGCACCACUCUGGUCUUAAGUACCGAUACCAACGGAAGUAUCGUACAGUCGUCCACCAUCCCUGGACACGAGGACACGUCCGAGAUACGCGGCCGAGAGACCCGAGGCAAGGUCACCGAGGCACGGCCGCGGCAAGGUCGAGGCACGUCCGAGGCAUCGCCUAUCACGGCGGAUUCAUCGCCUAUCUACCACCUAUCUAUGUUUGAAUAGGACCGCCCUUUAACAUUAAGACGGACGAGCGUGGGGUUGUUCUGUUAAGACCAGCAAAGCGCCGGACCCCGUUGGGUCCUAUUACUGUGGCUACCAUUCACUGGUAUAUGAGUGUCGGUCAUUUCCAUCACCCCCCCGUGAGAGACACACUAUCGCUACGGGCCGACCCGUGCCUCAUCCCGGUCUCCCAUUCUCUGGGCAACAGCCAGUGGGAUCGAUCCGGCGACCUCCCGGCAGCGCAAUGCGCCAUUCGGGGCUCAUAACCUAUUGAAGAAUUGGCGACGGUGACGGCUAACGCUGAUUGUUAUUUCGGAAGAAUUGCCGGCGGCGAAGAUAUUUAGCACGAUAAAAUGUUACAAGUUAUGUAAAGAGUAUUAUUAGCGUUCGGCAGGACUUGAGGAGAUUCCUUUGAGGAAUACCGAUCGUUGUGAGAUAAACAGAUAAGCGCAGUCACCGCCCUAAAUACCGGCGCUAGCGGAAACCCGUACAUUCCGCGAUCUAACUGCACGUACAUUCCGCGAUCUCACUGCGCCGUCCUGACGGUGCCCAAUGUCUAUCACUUAGCUACCGGACAGUAUUCCAACUGCACCUCACCACUAUUCACCCUCUCACGCACUAUGUGAUGCUGCACGUCGAUGUGCUUCGACCGAGCAGACGUAAUCGGGUUAUUUCCCAAGCUAAGCGCCCCCUGGGAAUCUAUUUGAAUCUUGAUAGCGCUCUCAGGCAAACCCAAGUCAACCAUCAGCUUGCGAAGCCACAAAGCCUCGCGAACAGCUGCCGCUGUCGCUUGAUACUCGGCCUCCACCGACGAAGCUGCCACAGUACGUUGAAGUUGACUGCUCCAGCUAAUCGCAGCCCCAUUAAGAGUGAAAACGUAGCCGGAAGUAGAACGCCGCGUAACCGGGUCUCCUGCCCAGUCAGAAUCGCUAUACCCGGACAUAGCAAUGUCGCCAACACCCCCAAAACGCAAUCCUAGUUCGCGAGUACCCGCCAGGUAACGCAGAACGCCGAUUGCUAAGUUCAUGGCAGUCUUCGUGGGUGCGGCCAUAUGCCGGGACAAAACGCUCAAUGCAUAUGAAAUGUCAGGCCGCGUGUUCGUCGCCAGAUAGUUCAAUUCUCCCACCAAAGCCCUAUACUCGGUGGGAUUGCCCAGCAGCUCCUCUCCGUCCCCCGUAGGAGUGUACCUAAAGCCCGGAGGCAAAGGGGUAGACCUCGGCUUGGCGUCAAUCAUCCUAUGACGCUCCAACAGCUGCGUAAUAUACCUAUGCUGCGACAACACUAUCUCACCCGACUUCUCCCUCCUAAUUUCCAUGCCCCAAAACACCUUCGCUUCUCCAAGGUCGCGCACCUUGAAGACCUUAGCAAUUGCAGGUUUAAUUGCCCGGACCAUUUCCGGGUCUUCCGACGCAACAAUGGUAUCAUCUACGUGCACCAAAGCAAUAACAACCCCACGCUCGUCAGUCUUAACAAACAUCGCCGGAUCAGACUUCGAAGGAUAAAGACCCAGAUUGGCGAACUCUGCUGAUAGUUUCUCAUACCAGCAACGGGGUGCCUGCUUCAAACCGUAAAUCGAUUUCUGCAGCUUGCACGCAAGCGACCGGUCACUGGAUGCAUACCCAGGCGGUUGCUCCAUCCACAACUCCUCCUUCAGCUCACCAUUCAAAAACGCAGUAGACACAUCGAGCUGAUGCACCGUCAUGUUCCGCGCUGCGGCAACUGCUAAUAAAGCACGUAAUGACGAACCACGAGAGGUAGGGGCAAACAACUCCCCAUAAUCAAUCCCCUCGCGUUGCUCGAAACCCUUGGCAACUAAGCGCGCCUUAAAGCGCUCCACAUUACCGUCUGCAUCAUGCUUCACCUUAUACACCCAGCGACAAGGCAGUAAACGUGUACCAGGCGGCGGCUUCUUAAGCUCCCAGGUAUGGUCGGCCAUCUAAGCGGCGAUCUCCUCAUCCAUCGCACGCCGCCAGUCUUCUGCAUGUGGACUUGCAAUGGCUUCCGCAAACGAAUUAGGUUCAGGAAUAUCAGCAGAGAAAGCAGCGUUAACACGACAAGUGACAGUGCGACCAGGUUCGUUUCACCACCAUUCGCCAGGGUGUUUCCGUUCUCUAACUGGAUAUCGUGUCCCUGCCAUUUCCACAUCAGGCUGAUUGUUACCUUGCACGUUUGCACUGCUGGAUGGUCCAGCCCCAGCCGGCGCCCCCUCGCCACCCAAAUGCGGCGAUCCCUAACCGACGGUGCUACCUGGUAUCCCUUCGCCAGCCAUAGGCAGCGAUCCCUCACCAGGCAAACUAGUGCGAAACUCCUCCUCCUCGUCGGCAUCGGAUUCAUAAUCAGAAUCCCCGGCAUUACGCCGCCGGCCGACGUUAGACUCGUCAAAGCGAACGUUAGAAACUACGGCAAUAAUGCCGUCCUCGUAUAGCACACGAUACUGUCCUCCGUUNNNNNNNNNNNNNNNNNNNNNNNNNNNNNNNNNNNNNNNNNNNNNNNNNNAUACUGAGGAUGAAUUAGUGUUGUCGCAAUAUUGAGCAGCUAUUGGAGCGUCACCAGGCGGUGGACGCCAAGCCACUGUCUACCCCUUUGCCUCCAGGUUUUAGUUGCACACCUACGGGGGAUAGAGAUGAGCUGCUGGGUAUUCCCAUGGUGCAUAGGGCUUUGGUGGGAAAGUUGGACUACCUAGCGACUAACACUCGGCCUGACAUUCCUUAUGCAUGGAGUGUUUUGUCCCGGCUUAUGGCCACACCUAAGAAGAGUGCCAUGAACUUGGCAACUGGUGUUCUACGUUACCUGGCGGGUACUCGCGAACUAGGAUUGCGUUUUGGGGGUGUUGGCGGUGUUGCAAUGUCUGGGUACAGUGAUUCGGACUGGGCAGGAGACCCAGUUACGCAGCGUUCUACGUCCGGUUACGUAUUCACUCUUAAUGGAGCUGCGAUUAGCUGGAGCAGCCAACUUCAACGUACUGUGGCGGCUUCGUCGGUGGAGGCCGAGUACCAAGGUCCAGGUCCUCUCCCAACUCGUGUGGUUGUCGACCAGGGGAUUUGACCCCGGGUCUGCGCCUAACUAACGGGGAAGACUUAACCCAGAACCUUAAGUUAGGCGAUGAUAGGCAAUGCCUCGAACGUGUCUCGACCUUGCCUCGGCCGUGCCUAGACCUUGCCUCGGCCAUACCUCGACUUGCCUCGGCCGUACCUCGACCUUGCCUCGAGUCUCUCGGCCGCGUAUCUCGGACGUGACCUCGGGUCCAGGGAUGGAUCUGUACGAUACUUCCAUUGUUACUGGUCUGGUCUGUACGAUACUUCCAUUGUUACUGGUCUGGUCUGGGUUGACACUACUGCAAUUAGCGGUUUAAGGUCCUAGGUUCGAUUCCUGGGGAUACCCCCGAAUUAGUCGGGAGCGCGAGAUUAUGGCUAGCUGCUGAGAUGUGGAGUUGAGGUCACAGUUGAUGGACCAGAUUCGCACGCUGGAUUGGUGGCGAUUGCCGAACCCUCCGUCUCUUCGGGUGUUCGGGUGAAUGGAUGAGGUGGGGCCCCUGAAGGCUGGAUCCGNNNNNNNNNNNNNNNNNNNNNNNNNNNNNNNNNNNNNNNNNNNNNNNNNNNNNNNNNNNNNNNNNNNNNNNNNNNNNNNNNNNNNNNNNNNNNNNNNNNNNNNNNNNNNNNNNNNNNNNNNNNNNNNNNNNNNNNNNNNNNNNNNNNNNNNNNNNNNNNNNNNNNNNNNNNNNNNNNNNNNNNNNNNNNNNNNNNNNNNNNNNNNNNNNNNNNNNNNNNNNNNNNNNNNNNNNNNNNNNNNNNNNNNNNNNNNNNNNNNNNNNNNNNNNNNNNNNNNNNNNNNNNNNNNNNNNNNNNNNNNANUUCCGCUAUCAUUACCACCAUCUUCUGAUAGACCUCCUCCUUGGUCCGUGUAAAUGCAACAGCUGAAAGACCAGUAUGAUCGUCAAGCAGAGUUGUCACGUAACGCGAACCACUAGGCGAAGGUUCAGGCAUAGGUCCACACACAUCCAUGUGGACUUAUGCUAGUGGCUGUGCUGCUUUUGCCCUGUUAGCGGAAAAGGACCACGUGUAUGCUUAGCAAGGACGCAAGUCUCACACACACACGCGCUGGCUGAUUGUAUGCUGUGUCGGUCAAUAUUGAACCCAGUUACCAUAUUAUGACGCAGCAACGCCUCAAGGUUGCUGUAUCCCAAAUGGCCAUACCGUCGGUGCCAAAGUGCUGCACGUUCAGCUCCGAUACUCUGCAGCACACACUGCAUCACCACCAGAAGGUAUCCUGUUGAUGUUACAGGGUGGUUAAGCUUCACCAGUGGCCCCCACCAGUCGACCCAACUGGACAGCGCGGAUUGCAGCAGGCGAUCGCUUGCUACAACUACCAACAGACGGGCCGUAUAGCUCGGAGUUGCAGAGAGAGCUGCAGCCUAACGUGCAGGGAAGGAGUGGAGGUGGUCUUGGUGCCCGCACCCGCACGCGGCAGGUGGGGUAGCAUGCCUCAACAGACAGGCGGUGGCGACAGUGCAGUGAUGCCGUGUAUUCUUUGCUGCACGAGAAAAGCAACUUUCUUGGAUAAGGGGAAUUGUCUGACUCCGAAGCAGCUAGUAUUGGUGUACCUAAGUCAGGGCCUCCGUAAGCUCUGGUAGACUCAGGAACCACAGUCGGCUAGGCACCACUGUCCCCUGUGGAUGGUGAAGGAAUGCCGGAUGAAGCCGGAACAUCCAGUGGUGCAAGCCAGCGCAGGAUGUCAGAAGAAGAGGGCAGGGAAUAUGAGGAGAUAUUAUAGCCCUCGGAGUGGUGACAUGGUGUUGCAGGAAGGAGGAUAGUAGGUCGCAUUAACGUGGCUGUCACUUAUCCGUACCCUGCUGAACCUUUGCUGAGUAAUACUUUCACUGAAGCCAUUUCAGGUGCAAAUGCAAAUGAGUGGCGCAGAGUGAUGUGCACAGCCUCAUGAUGUGCAUGUGCUACUGUACCGGUGGGUAUACAAAUUGAAAACACUGGAAAAUGACAGUGUCAAGCGCUCUUUUGCAUGGCUACUUGCAAAGGUGUACGAGAAGUACGAGACCUUGGUGAAGUGCAGGUGUUGUCAGGCAUGGAAAUUAUGAGGAUGAAGCCGGGCAAAUUGGUGUUGUCGCAUUGUAGGUAUAUUGAGCAGCUAUUGGAGCAUCAUCAGACGGUGGAUGCCGAGCCACGAUCUACCCCUUUGCCUUCGGGUUUUAUGUGCACNNNNNNNNNNNNNNNNNNNNNNNNNNNNNNNNNNNNNNNNNNNNNNNNNNUUUGUCUAGGAGAGUGCGAUUCAAAUGUUCCGCAGCUCCGUUCUGCUCAUGGGCCUCUGUAGCCUACCGUAGUUCCGUGUACAAUACCCCUGGACGCGAAAUAGCCCUUCGUGCGAGUAUUAAUGAACUCCCCACCACGAUCCGUACGCACCUCCUUAACCUGCCUGCCAGAAGCGCGCUCCAGUUCCGCUAUCAUUACCACCAUCUUCUGAUAGACCUCCUCCUUGGUCCGUGUAAAUGCAACAGCUGAAAGACCAGUAUGAUCGUCAAGCAGAGUUGUCACGUAACGCGAACCACUAGGCGAAGGUUCAGGCAUAGGUCCACACACAUCCAUGUGGACUAAUGCUAGUGGCUGUGCUGCUUUUGCCCUGUUAGCGGAAAAGGACCACGUGUAUGCUUAGCAAGGACGCAAGUCUCACACACACACGCGCUGGCUGAUUGUAUGCUGUGUCGGUCAAUAUUGAACCCAGUUACCAUAUUAUGACGCAGCAACGCCUCAAGGUUGCUGUAUCCCAAAUGGCCAUACCGUCGGUGCCAAAGUGCUGCACGUUCAGCUCCGAUACUCUGCAUCACCUACUCUGCAGCACACACUGCAUCACCACCAGAAGGUAUCCUGUUGAUGUUACAGGGUGGUUAAGCUUCACCAGUGGCCCCCACCAGUCGACCCAACUGGACAGCGCGGAUUGCAGCAGGCGAUCGCUUGCUACAACUACCAACAGACGGGCCGUAUAGCUCGGAGUUGCAGAGAGAGCUGCAGCCUAACGUGCAGGGAAGGAGUGGAGGUGGUCUUGGUGCCCGCACCCGCACGCGGCAGGUGGGGUAGCAUGCCUCAGACAGGCGGUGGCGACAGUGCAGUGAUGCCGUGUAUUCUUUGCUGCACGAGAAAAGCAACUUUCUUGGAUAAGGGGAAUUGUCUGACUCCGAAGCGGCUAGUAUUGGUGUACCUAAGUCAGGGCCUCCGUAAGCUCUGGUAGACUCAGGAACCACAGUCGGCUAGGCACCACUGUCCCCUGUGGAUGGUGAAGGAAUGCGGGAUGAAGCCGGAACAUCCAGUGGUGCAAGCCAGCGCAGGAUGUCAGAAGAAGAGGGCAGGGAAUAUGAGGAGCUAUUAUAGCCCUCGGAGUGGUGACAUGGUGUUGCAGGAAGGAGGAUAGUAGGUCGCAUUAACGUGGCUGUCACUUAUCCGUACCCUGCUGAACCUUUGCUGAGUAAUACUUUCACUGAAGCCAUUUCAGGUGCAAAUGCAAAUGAGUGGCGCAGAGUGAUGUGCACAGCCUCAUGAUGUGCAUGUGCUACUGUACCGGUGGGUAUACAAAUUGAAAACACUGGAAAAUGACAGUGUCAAGCGCUCUUUUGCAUGGCUACUUGCAAAGGUGUACGAGAAGUACGAGACCUUGGUGAAGUGCAGGUGUUGUCAGGCAUGGAAAUUAUGAGGAUGAAGCCGGGCAAAUUGGUGUUGUCGCAUUGUAGGUAUAUUGAGCAGCUAUUGGAGCAUCAUCAGACGGUGGAUGCCGAGCCACGAUCUACCCCUUUGCCUUCGGGUUUUAUGUGCACACCUACGGAUGAUACAGAUGAGCUGCUGGGUAAUCCCACGGAGUACAGGGCUUUGGUGGGAGAGUGCUGGAUUUUCACCGGGCUCUCAGGCAAGCUCAAAUCAACCAUCAGCUUGCGAAGCCACAAAGCCUCACGAACAGCCGCCGCUGUAGCUUGGUACUCAGCCUCCACCGACGAAGCCGCCACAGUACGUUGAAGUUGGCUGCUCCAGCUAAUCGCAGCCCCAUUAAGAGUGAAUACGUAACCGGACGUAGAACGCCGCGUAACUGGGUCUCCUGCCCAGUCCGAAUCACUGUACCCGGACAUAGCAACGUCGCCAACACCCCCAAAACGCAAUCCUAGUUCGCGUGUACCCGCCAGGUAACGCAGAACGCCGGUUGCCAAGUUCAUGGCAGUCUUCGUAGGUGCGGCCAUAUGCCGGGACAAAACGCUCAAUGCAUAUGAAAUGUCAGGCCGCGUGUUCGUCGCCAGAUAGUUCAAUUCUCCCACCAAAGCCCUAUACUCUGUGGGAUUGCCCAGCAGCUCCUCUCCGUCCCCCUUAGGAGUGUACCUAAAGCCCGGAGGCAAAGGGGUAGACCUCGGCUUGGCGUCAAUCAUCCUAUGACGCUCCAACAGCUGCGCAAUAUACCUAUGCUGCGACAACACUAUCUCACCCGACUUCUCCCUCCUAAUUUCCAUGCCCCCAAACACNNCUUCGCUUCUCCAAGGUCGCGCACCUUGAAGACCUUAGCAAUUGCAGCUUUAAUUGCCCGGACCAUUUCCGGGUCUUCCGACGCAACAAUAGUGUCAUCUACGUGCACCAAAGCAAUAACAACCCCACGCUCGUCAGUCUUAACGAACAUCGCCGGAUCAGACUUCGAAGGAUAAAGACCCAACUUGGCGAACUCUGCUGAUAGUUUUUCAUACCAGCAACGGGGUGCCUGCUUUAAACCGUAAAUAGACUUCUGCAGCUUGCACGCAAGCGACCGGUCACUGGAUGCAUACCCAGGCGGUUGCUCCAUCCACAACUCCUCCUUCAGCUCACCAUUCAGAAACGCAGUAGACACAUCCAGCUGAUGUACCGUCAUGUUCCGGGCUGCGGCAACUGCUAAUAAAGCACGCAAUGACGAACCACGAGAGGUAGGGGCAAACAACUCCCCAUAAUCAAUCCCCUCGCGUUGCUCGAAACCCUUGGCAACUAAACGCGCCUUAAAACGCUCCACGCUGCCGUCAUCGCUGUACUUAACCUAAUAUACCCAACGACACGGCAACAAACGAGUACCAGGAGGUGGCUUCUUCAACUCCCAAGUACUAUUAGCCAUCUGGGCGGCGAUCUCCUCGUCCAUCGCACGCCGCCAGUCGUCUGCAUGUGGACUUGCAAUUGCUUCCUCAAACGAAUUAGGCUCAGGAAUACCAGCAGAGAAAGCAGCGUUAACGCGACCAGUGACAGUGCGACCAGGUUCGUUUCGCCACCAUUCGCCAGGGCGUUUACGCUCUCUAACUGGGUACCUAGUUCCCGCCAUUUCCACAUCAGGCUGAUUGAUUCCUUGCCCGUUCGCACUGCUGGAAGGUCCAGCCCCAGCCGGCGCCCCCUCGCCACCCAAUAAUGCCGUCCUCGUAUAGUACACGAUACUGUCCACCGUUCCCGUAUCCGACAAGUAUUCCACGCCUGCUCACCGGGUCGAACUUGUCGCGCUUGACGUCGGGUACGUGGACGUAGGCAACACAUCCAAAGACUCGCAGGUGACUGACGUUCGGACGAACGUUAAAGAAAGCUUCGUACGGAGUGACGGUUGACCCAGCAGUUGGCGACACAUUCCUAAGAGUCUGGUCUGGGUUGACACUACUGCAAUUAGCGGUUUAAGGUCCCGGGUUCGAUUCCUGGGGAGACCCCCGAAUUAGUCGGGAGCGCGAGAUUAUGGCUAGCUGCUGAGAUGUGGAGUUGAGGUCACAGUUGAUGGACAAGAUUCGCACGCUGGAUUGGUGGCGAUUGCCGAACCCUCCGUCUCUUCGGGUGUUCGGGUGAAUGGAUGAGGAGGGGUCCCCGAAGGCUGGAUCCGCCGCCUUGGACUUACAGUUCGUAUGGCGAAGUACAGUGUGGUAGUGGUGGAUGGUGCUAUAAGGUGAUAAAUGAUCUAGAACUGACAAUGUGAUAAAGCGGCCCAGAAGCUUCCCACUCUGUAACAUUAC